RNAcentral lists this ribosomal RNA (254 nucleotides) under uncultured bacterium. Its description in RNAcentral is "partial 16S ribosomal RNA". It matches the Rfam family "Bacterial small subunit ribosomal RNA", at positions 524 to 776 of the family's 1533-position model. The record is from RNAcentral.
UACGGAGGAUCCAAGCGUUAUCCGGAAUUACUGGGCGUAAAGAGUUGCGUAGGUGGCAUUGUAAGCGGAUAGUGAAAGCGUGUGGCUCAACCAUACUCACAUUAUCUGAACUGCAAAGCUUGAGGGCGAGAGGGGUAACUAGAAUUCCUAGUGUAGGAGUGAAAUCCGUAGAUAUUAGGAGGAAUACCGAUGGCGUAGGCAGGUUACUGGCUCGUCCCUGACACUAAGGCACGAAAGCGUGGGUAGCAAACGGG